AGGAUUUUUUUAAGAUUUUUUUAGGAUUUGACUAAAGUUUGGUUAAGGUUUGUUUAGGAUUUGAUUGGAAUUUGGUUAAGAUUUGUUAGGUUUGACUAGGAUUUAUUUAGGAUUUUAUUAAGGUUUGUUUAUGUUUUGUUUAGGAUUUAAUUAGAUUUGGUUAGGAUUUGACUAGGAUUUGGUUUAGGUUUAUUUAAGAUUUGAUUAAAGUUUGAUUAAGAUUUUUUUAGGAUUUGAUUAGGCUUUGGUUAGGAAUUAUCUAAGGUUUGACUAGGAUUUAUUUAGAAUUUGAUUAGGAUUUGGUUAGGAUUUGUUUAGGAUUUAUUUAGGAUUUUUUUAGGAUUUGGUUAGAAUUUUUUUAGAAUUUAUUUAGGAUUUGUUAAGAAUUUGAUUAGGAUUUUAUUAGAAUUUGUUUAAAAUUUGGUUAGAAUUUAGUUAGGAUUUGUUAAGGAUUUGGUUAGGAUUUAGUUAGAGUUUGUUUAGGAUUUGACUAGGAUUUACUUAGGAUUUGGUUAGGAUUUGAAUAGGAUUUGACUAGAAUUUGAUUCGGGUUUUGAUUAAGAUUUAAUUAAGAUUAGAUUUUGAUUAAGGUUUAAUUAAUAUAUUAUUAAGGUUUUUAUUUUAGUAUAUUUUUG
This 635-nucleotide long non-coding RNA is filed under the name Physcomitrium patens. RNAcentral's name for it is "long non-coding RNA (PPAT_LNC007200)". The record is from RNAcentral. Lineage: Eukaryota; Viridiplantae; Streptophyta; Bryopsida; Funariales; Funariaceae.